Molecule: ribosomal RNA, 253 nt
Filed under: uncultured bacterium
Lineage: Bacteria
Description: partial 16S ribosomal RNA
Rfam family: Bacterial small subunit ribosomal RNA
Source: RNAcentral
UACGUAGGGUGCAAGCGUUGUCCGGAAUUAUUGGGCGUAAAGAGCUCGUAGGCGGUUUGUUGCGUCGGCUGUGAAAACCUGAGGCUCAACCUCAGGCCUGCAGUCGAUACGAGCAGACUAGAGUGUUGCAGGGGAGACUGGAAUUCCUGGUGUAGCGGCGAAAUGCGCAGAUAUCAGGAGGAACACCGGUGGCGAAGGCGGGUCUCUGGGCAACAACUGACGCUGAGGAGCGAAAGCGUGGGGAGCGAACAGG